RNAcentral lists this ribosomal RNA (427 nucleotides) under uncultured bacterium. RNAcentral describes it as "partial 16S ribosomal RNA". It matches the Rfam family "Bacterial small subunit ribosomal RNA", at positions 355 to 774 of the family's 1533-position model. The record is from RNAcentral.
UGGGGAAUAUCGGACAAUGGGCGAAAGCCUGAUCCAGCCAUGCCGCGUGUGUGAAGAAGGUCUUCGGAUUGUAAAGCACUUUAAGUUGGGAGGAAGGGCAUUAACCUAAUACGUUAGUGUUUUGACGUUACCGACAGAAUAAGCACCGGCUAACUCUGUGCCAGCAGCCGCGGUAAUACAGAGGGUGCAAGCGUUAAUCGGAAUUACUGGGCGUAAAGCGCGCGUAGGUGGUCUGUUAAGUUGGAUGUGAAAUCCCCGGGCUCAACCUGGGAACUGCAUUCAAAACUGACUGACUAGAGUAUGGUAGAGGGUGGUGGAAUUUCCUGUGUAGCGGUGAAAUGCGUAGAUAUAGGAAGGAACACCAGUGGCGAAGGCGACCACCUGGACUAAUACUGACACUGAGGUGCGAAAGCGUGGGGAGCAAACA